This is a long non-coding RNA of Lycium ferocissimum, 461 nucleotides long. RefSeq lists it as uncharacterized. The transcript has 2 exons. NCBI's taxonomy places the organism in Eukaryota, Viridiplantae, Streptophyta, Magnoliopsida, Solanales, Solanaceae. The record is from RefSeq and is a predicted model, not a curated record.
UUUAGAUUAUCUUAUAACAUUUAGAUAUUUGUGAAAUAUAAGCGUUAUAUCAACAUUUGUUAUCCUUAAAACAGCACUAAUCCGAAAUGAAAAAGAAGUUCCAUCCAUCAAUCAGAGAACAGACAAGCCAAAACCCAACACCAAAGUGAGAAGAAUCUCUGAAAAGCAUAUGACUCCCUUUUCUUUCUUCACCACUUGCUUUGAUGGCACCAUGCUCAUGCCACAGCAAAAAGCAAAUUUUGAUAAAAUUCUUCCCCUUCCAAAAACUAUCAUUGAAACGUAAGAGGGAGAAACAGGGGGAGCCAGCUUUGAAUGUGCAGAAGAGCGAAGUUAUACAAAAUCCUUUCACUUGCUUCUCUUUUGGCAUUUAUUGCAUAUUUUUGGAGAUAAAAUUAUCUCUUUGAUGUACUUACUGUGUUAUCCUUCUUUUUGAUAUCUAAACGUGCAAGUCAUCACUUUUU